UGGCGGACGGGUGGGUAACGCGUGGAAAACCUGCCGUAUACUGGGGGAUAACACUUAGAAAUAGGUGCUAAUACCGCAUAAGCGCACAGCUUCGCAUGAAGCGGUGUGAAAAACUCUGGUGGUAUACGAUGGUUCCGCGUCUGAUUAGCUAGUUGGUGGGGUAAUGGCCUACCAAGGCAACGAUCAGUAGCCGGCCUGAGAGGGUGAACGGCCACAUUGGGACUGAGACACGGCCCAAACUCCUACGGAAGGCAGCAG
This 258-nucleotide ribosomal RNA is filed under the name uncultured bacterium. RNAcentral's name for it is "partial 16S ribosomal RNA". It matches the Rfam family "Bacterial small subunit ribosomal RNA", at positions 96 to 354 of the family's 1533-position model. The record is from RNAcentral.